AACGAAGAGGACACUGGGGCAUUUAACUGCCAGUGCCCAGCAGUCGUAGUUGAGUCCUGCUGAUGAAACAGAAAACCUGCAACCUGCCCUGUUUGCAGGCAGAACAGACAGUUAAAUAUAUCAGCCAAGGAACAGCAGGGGCUGGUAGCUGAAGUUUGGACAGUCGAGCCCGUAAAUGAUUUAUUCCACUCUGUUAAGCUUCCUGAAUCACAGAGAAGUUGUCAGAAAGAUUUUAGCCUCCGCUAUAGGAAGUCCUGCCCACCUUCUCCAGAUCUCUGUUCUCAUAGUCCAUCCUCUGGUUCCAGGUGGAAGAAUUCUAAAAUCACACAAGAAAAUGUAAGAUAUCUUCCUCGAAUAUCAACAGAGAAGAACAGCAGCCACGUGGAUAAGGCAGAGUUUGGGAAAUCCUGGAUUCCCUUAUCAUAAAGCAUCUUACAGUAACCUCAGAAAUGCAGAAGUUACUUGUAAUGGUGCUGUAGACACUGUACGAGAAAGUUUCACCUUUAUGAUCUAAUUUAAUUCUCACAAAAACCCUGUUAGGUAGGGUGUUAUUAUUUAAAUUUAAAUCAGAGGAAAAUGUAACAGGAAUUCUGCAACUUACAGUCAAAGAGAUAAUAAACAGGAGCAUCUGUGGUUUGAAA
Molecule: long non-coding RNA, 641 nt
Filed under: Homo sapiens (human)
Lineage: Eukaryota; Metazoa; Chordata; Mammalia; Primates; Hominidae
Description: non-protein coding LINC02270:4
Source: RNAcentral